This 301-nucleotide ribosomal RNA is filed under the name uncultured bacterium. RNAcentral's name for it is "partial 16S ribosomal RNA". It matches the Rfam family "Bacterial small subunit ribosomal RNA", at positions 509 to 807 of the family's 1533-position model. The record is from RNAcentral.
CAGUAGCCACGGUAAAACGAAGGGGGCUAGCGUUGUUCGGAUUUACUGGGCGUAAAGCGCACGUAGGCGGAUCGAUCAGUCAGGGGUGGAAUCCCAGAGCUCAACUCUGGAACUGCCUUUGAUACUGUCGAUCUGGAGUAUGGAAGAGGUGAGUGGAAUUCCGAGUGUAGAGGUGAAAUUCGUAGAUAUUCGGAGGAACACCAGUGGCGAAGGCGGCUCACUGUACUGGUAUUGACGCUGAGGUGCGAAAGCGUGGGGAGCAAACAGGAUUAGAUACCCCCGUAGUCCCUGUCUCUUAUAC